UUUCAGCUCGUACUUUUUCCUGGUCGUCGUCCCCUUGCUGUUACAACAAACAUUUCAAAUAAGUCCAAGCAACACCACAACAUAUUUGCAAAGAAUAAACCAACUCUUCAGAAUAUAGGUAUGAGCUCUCAGUUGAACUCGCAAGGUAGUGGCACGCAAAUAGGCUAUGAUGGUCUUGGAGGCCAUCACAAAGUGGACGAGUUCCCAAAGCCUCGCCCAGUUUUACUCAAAAAGAAGAGUGUGAAAGUUGUUACGAAAGGUGGCUCAGCAGCAAGAGUACAGAGCACUACUUUGAAAAACUUUUUUCAGAAUACUUUUGAUGACUAAUUGUUGUAAUAUAAUUACAGGAAUUGAUUUAUUGUAUGUGUGUAUUUAUUCUAUUUUAUGUCCCCCUUGGAAAAUAUCUUAUAAAAUCAGAACUGAGGUAAAUGUCAUGUAAUAAAACUUUGAUUUUAAUAAAGAGGUUAUAAUAA
Penaeus vannamei (Pacific white shrimp) is the source of this 473-nucleotide non-coding RNA. The record is from RefSeq and is a predicted model, not a curated record. NCBI's taxonomy places the organism in Eukaryota, Metazoa, Arthropoda, Malacostraca, Decapoda, Penaeidae.